GAGUUUUGAUCCUGGCUCAGGAUGAACGCUAGCUACAGGCUUAACACAUGCAAGUCGAGGGGAAACGACAUCGAAAGCUUGCUUUUGAUGGGNGUCGACCGGCGCACGGGUGAGUAACGCGUAUCCAACCUGCCCACCACUUGGGGAUAACCUUGCGAAAGUAAGACUAAUACCCAAUGAUAUCUCUAGAAGACAUCUGAAAAGAGAUUAAAAGAUUUUAUCGGUGAUGGAUGGGGAUGCGUCUGAUUAGCUUGUUGGCGGGGUAACGGCCCACCAAGGCAACGAUCAGUAGGGGUUCUGAGAGGAACGGUCCCCCACAUUGGAACUGAGACACGGUCCAAACUCCUACGGGAGCAGCA
RNAcentral lists this ribosomal RNA (359 nucleotides) under uncultured bacterium. RNAcentral describes it as "bacterial SSU rRNA". It matches the Rfam family "Bacterial small subunit ribosomal RNA", at positions 9 to 353 of the family's 1533-position model. The record is from RNAcentral.